GACAUAUAACGACGACAACUAAAACACUACGCCGUUAAAUAUAAUUUUCACGACAAGAAAAAAUAUGACGUCUUUAAAUACAUGAGAAGACGACGUUAUUGAUAUCUACUACGUCUCUUAUUUACAACCGUUGUGAAAUAAAUUUUCCACUUCGAUUUUUCUAAAAAAGAUGACGUGGAAAUAGUUGUCAGUGUCAUUAUUUACGACGUAUGUAUUUAUAUAAUUGACGUUGAAAUGCGAAACAACGUCGGUGGCAUUUAUAUAGUCGACGUUGUAUUUAUAUGUAUUCAUUACUCACG
Molecule: long non-coding RNA, 299 nt
Filed under: Prunus persica (peach)
Lineage: Eukaryota; Viridiplantae; Streptophyta; Magnoliopsida; Rosales; Rosaceae
Description: long non-coding RNA (PPER_LNC000891)
Source: RNAcentral